UUUCUACCGGGGUUGACCGGA
RNAcentral lists this small nuclear RNA (21 nucleotides) under Arabidopsis thaliana (thale cress). RNAcentral's name for it is "snRNA_18610". The record is from RNAcentral. Lineage: Eukaryota; Viridiplantae; Streptophyta; Magnoliopsida; Brassicales; Brassicaceae.